RNAcentral lists this ribosomal RNA (379 nucleotides) under Rhodomonas sp. RNAcentral describes it as "partial small subunit ribosomal RNA". It matches the Rfam family "Eukaryotic small subunit ribosomal RNA", at positions 587 to 975 of the family's 1831-position model. Lineage: Eukaryota; Cryptophyceae; Pyrenomonadales; Pyrenomonadaceae. The record is from RNAcentral.
AGCUCUAAUAGCGUAUAUUAAAGUUGUUGCAGUUAAAAAGCUCGUAGUCGGAUGUCGGGCUCGGGGAGGCUGUCGGCCUUUGGUCGGAUGGCAUCUCCGGGCCUUUCUGCCUGGGGAUCCUAUUCUACUUAACUGUAGGGUAGUGGGACGCAGGCCGUUUACUUUGAAAAAAUUAGAGUGUUCAAAGCAGGCCUACGCUUGAAUACAUUAGCAUGGAAUAAUGGAAUAGGACUUUGGUGCUAUUUUGUUGGUUUAUGGGACCGAAGUAAUGAUUAACAGGGACAGUUGGGGCCGUUUAUAUUUCGUUGUCAGAGGUGAAAUUCUUGGAUUUACGAAAGAUAAACUUCUGCGAAAGCAUUCGGCAAGGAUGUUUUCAUUG